This is a long non-coding RNA of Toxorhynchites rutilus septentrionalis, 471 nucleotides long. RefSeq lists it as uncharacterized. The record is from RefSeq and is a predicted model, not a curated record. Lineage: Eukaryota; Metazoa; Arthropoda; Insecta; Diptera; Culicidae. The transcript has 3 exons.
AUAGUCCGCGCAGCGGACGAUGGCCAGCGCCGGGAAGCCGGGAACAGAAAACAGCAAAAGCGUGAAACGGUCGGGGAAAAUGCGGUGAAACUUCUCCACCGUGAUGAAUGUAAUCUGAUGGCUACAUUUGACUACACCACCCAACCCACACGCAACACAACACAACACUACGAAAUAAGCACGCAACAGGGCAAACACAGUCAGCUAUGUAUGAAGCGAUCACUACUACUAAUGCGCCGUCUUGCGUAAAAAUGACAUUUGAGGUUCGAAGUUUUCUGCUGAACGAAGCCGAUGUAAACGAUAGAAAACACGCACAUUAUUGUUGAUGGAACAGGUGGCUCACUAGGUCACGCGUCGCCUCUGGAAAUUUAGAAUACACCUUUAAUGACCUUUACAGUUAUGUGUAUUCAGUUUCAUUCAGUAUCAUGCCCGAAAUGGUACAACGAGAUGGCCCUCAAUAUGUGAAUCAAA